AUAGUAAUAUCAAAACAUGAUAAAAAAAAGUAUGAGAUUUCAGAAACUGAGGGUCUGUUUAAUUUCGGAAAACAUUUUGUAUUUUUGUUUCCAAUUUUUAUAUUUAAUUACAAUUUUUCCUCAUUCUUUUCACUCUGUUUUCUAAUCUUAGAUAAUUGUAUAGAAAAUAAGGUGUGUAUAACCUAUGAAGCACUUGAUGGUCACAAGGGGGCAGCCGGAAGAUCAUUCACAUUGGGGUCAGAGCAACUAUAUAAGUGAGUUGAACACUACAUCUUUAUCCAAAAUCUUAAGACAUUAGGUUUAUGGGUCAUCUCUCUUAUAAAAUGUCUAACCUCCAUUUUUCUAAGCAAUGUGAGACUUAAAUUACCUCACACAACAACACUUACACAUACACAUACACGAACACUAGACAUACAUUGCUGUUCAGUGUCGGUGCUACAUAACUUAUAAUAAUCAUGUUAUUGAUGGGAUAAUAGAGAAAAACAUGUUUGUUUUAUCAUUUAAAACAUACAUCUUUCUA
Molecule: long non-coding RNA, 520 nt
Filed under: Trifolium pratense (red clover)
Lineage: Eukaryota; Viridiplantae; Streptophyta; Magnoliopsida; Fabales; Fabaceae
Description: long non-coding RNA (TPRA_LNC011257)
Source: RNAcentral